Molecule: ribosomal RNA, 253 nt
Filed under: uncultured bacterium
Lineage: Bacteria
Description: partial 16S ribosomal RNA
Rfam family: Bacterial small subunit ribosomal RNA
Source: RNAcentral
UACGAAGGGGGCUAGCGUUGUUCGGAAUCACUGGGCGUAAAGGGCGCGUAGGCGGCUAUUCAAGUCGGGGGUGAAAGCCUGUGGCUCAACCACAGAAUUGCCUUCGAUACUGUUUGGCUUGAGACCGGAAGAGGACAGCGGAACUGCGGGUGUAGAGGUGAAAUUCGUAGAUAUUCGCAAGAACACCAGUGGCGAAGGCGGCUGUCUGGUCCGGUUCUGACGCUGAGGCGCGAAAGCAUGGGGAGCAAAAGGG